Molecule: long non-coding RNA, 2053 nt
Organism: Tarenaya hassleriana
Lineage: Eukaryota; Viridiplantae; Streptophyta; Magnoliopsida; Brassicales; Cleomaceae
Exons: 3
Source: RefSeq, a predicted model, not a curated record
CUUCCUCAUCUUCUGACACCAUCCAUCUCUUCCAUCUCUUCUUCCUCAUUACCCUGUUCUUCAUCAUUAUCUCCUUCUUCACCUUCUUCUUUAUCCUCUCCUACAGUCCUUGAAUCUUCUGAAAAACUUCGUAGAUCACAGCGACAGACGACACUCCUGCAUACCUUGCAGAUUAUCACUGCUACUUUCUCAAACAUCACAUGCCUCCUAUACCCACCACAACCACACCAUAUCAUCUAUCUUCCUACCUAUCUUAUUCUCAUAUACAACCCACUUACAAAACCUUUCUCUUCUUACCGAAACUAAACCAAAAAUUUAUACUCAAGCUGUUAAGUCUGACAAAUGGAAUGCUGCCAUGAGAUUUGAGUUGGAAGCUCUAACUAAGGUAGAUACUUGGGAGAUUUGUUCUCUACCUGUUGGCAAACAUCCAAUUGGGUGUAAAUGGGUUUUUAAAACCAAAUACAAUGCUAAUGGUAGCAUAGAAAGACACAAAGCCAGAUUGGUCACCAAAAGUUAUACACAAAUUGAAGGCCUCGAUUUCCUUGAUACAUUAAGUCCAGUGGCAAAAAUGACUACUGUAAGAGUUGUGCUUGCUAUAGCUACUGCUCAGAAUUGGUGUUUGUCUCAAUUGGAUAUUUCCAAUGCAUUUCUCAAUGGGGAUUUAAGUGAAGAGUUGUACAUGUCACUGCCUCCUGGAUAUUCUGCUAUUAAGGGGGAGAAAGUUCUUGAGAAAUCUGUUUGUCGCUUAAAGAAGUCGAUUUAUGGCUUGAAACAAGCCUCAAGACAAUGGAAUCUCAAGCUGUCCUCUGUUUUAUUGGCUGAUGGAUUUCGACAGUCUUCAGCAGAUACUUCUGUUUUUAUUAAAUAUGUGGGAUCGACUCUAACUCUUAUGUUGGUAUAUGUUGAUGAUUUGAUAUUGACUGGGAAUGAUACAACCAUGAUUUCACAGACCAAGAAUACUCUACAGGCACAUUUUCAAGUUAAGGAUCUUGGCCCCUUAAGAUACUUCUUGGCACUUUAGCGACAGUCAGUCUGCAAUUCUACUUGCGAACAAUCCGGUACACCAUGAACGUACCAAGCAUAUGGAAUUGGACUGUCACUUCAUUCGAGACCAAAUCAAAUCUGGAUUUUUGAAGAUUCCACAUGUUUCAUAAAGAGAACAGAUACGGGUUCAAGCCAUUCUGACUCGUGGUAACUCCGAGAUUUUGGUUGUUAAAUCUAUGUCUACUUAUCAACUUCUUGUCGAUCUGACAUAGACCCACCUUAAUGCGAUCCCCUUAGAGGACACUGUGGAGCGUGAUGCUGUGCAUAAGGCUUUUAUGUCAUUGUUGAGGCAUGACGCAAAAGGUGAUCUUAAUUGUUCUACAUUUAAUCCGAUGUGUCCGAACAUUACUUAAAUCAUCUUAGGCUUGGGGAGGGCUUCUCGGAGUUUUACAAGGACUUCACUGAGAGAAUUUUUAGGCUUGGGGAAGAUUUCUCAUGGAUUUCGGGAUUUAGUGGGCCUAUUAUGGAUGAAUGGAUUCUGUCAUACUUCUUCUUCGUCGUCAUUGCUAUAACGCAAGGGGAAACGGCCAGCAGGAAAUGGAGCGGGUAAUGUCUCGGCAGCGAAGAAAGGAAGAGGUGGAUCAUCAGGGGGAAUCCAGGAUCAGCUCGUGAAUAAUAAGGCAUUUGAAGGACACAGGGCAGAGGAGGUGGCAGCAGCCGUGGACACGGGGACAGGGACGGGGUCGGGGUCGGGUAAGAGGCUACUAUCUGGUAAUAUAAUAUUUCACAGCUUUGUUUCUUUCACUUAAUCCCCUCUUCUCAGGUGUUGAUCUCUUGUUUCUGUUUAAAGCAAGAACUGCAGUUGGUACGAGGAUUUUUGAUUCUGUAGGGACAAGAACUGCAGUCAGACAUUAUCCAUGGGGUUUGGGUUUGGAUACUCCAAAAGUACCGGAUACCCGAUCCCUGAUUGUCCAACCCUUCCUUAGCUGUCCUUAUCACACCAAGAGUCAAUCCCAAUAAUGACAAAAAAAAACAUUAAAGAAUUUGCCCACUCUUAUUCACAUUUAAA